This is a non-coding RNA of Pelobates cultripes (western spadefoot toad), 679 nucleotides long. NCBI's taxonomy places the organism in Eukaryota, Metazoa, Chordata, Amphibia, Anura, Pelobatidae. The record is from the annotation of a GenBank genome assembly.
AAAAGUAGAAAAAUUUCAAAAGGAGGAAAAAAGAAGGAACCAGCAUAAUACCUUUUAACAAUCACACGCUAUGGUCUGAUGUUUAGCUUUAAAAUUAUUAUUGUGACUACAGAAAGUACCUGCGUGAACAGGAAAAGCAAGAGAUUUUCUGACGUCAAGGUAUGCUCUUAUCUGAAACCAGCAAUAAAUGUCAUACAUUCUACUACUAUUUGGGAUAAAAUGCACAAACCAGAUAAACUCACACAUUGCUUCCCUAGCUAGAGUUGGUUCUGGGCCACACAGGAAGUGACAGGUUGCUAGGUGUGGUGCUGGGGCUUUGAGUUGGUAAGGGAGUGUUCCUGUAUGUUCCCUAAAAAUGGAGAUAAUUGAAAACCUAAGGGACAAUUCUGUGAGCAUGGGAAUUCUGUGAACAUGGGAGAUGGUAUUUAGGGAUAGCUCUGGAGUCCCUGGGUAGAUGUGGGGGAAUUAUAUGCGGUCUCAGGAUCACAGUGGUGACUUAACUAGGGAUAGGACUGGGCUACAUUUUUGCAGGGGGGGUGGGGAUGGUCUAGAAAGAUGUUUGGUAUAUCCAUUCAGUCUUGGACACAAGGAACGUGAUAGUUUACUAGUGGCAGGUUCUGGGUAUAUCACAUGAGCUAUCAGGGCACAUGGGAAGUGACAGCCUGGUAUUGGGGUCUCU